CUGCAUGUGGUAUAUCAUGAAGGAUUGAACGUUUCGUUUCUUUCUGUUCCCAUCCCAGGUGUUGGAUGUCUGUAUCACAUGCUAGAAUAAAUAUGGAGUUUAAUGGGAUGCUAGUCUUCUAGUACAGGCUGAGUGGUAGUGUCCUCCUCCUACAUCC
Erpetoichthys calabaricus (reedfish) is the source of this 157-nucleotide small nucleolar RNA. The record is from Ensembl. Lineage: Eukaryota; Metazoa; Chordata; Cladistia; Polypteriformes; Polypteridae.